GACGAACGCUGGCGGCGUGCUUAACACAUGCAAGUCGAACGGAAAGGCCCUGCUUUUGUGGGGUGCUCGAGUGGCGAACGGGUGAGUAACACGUGAGUAACCUGCCCUUGACUUUGGGAUAACUUCAGGAAACUGGGGCUAAUACCGGAUAGGAGCUCCUGCUGCAUGGUGAGGGUUGGAAAGUUUCGGCGGUUGGGGCUGGACUCGCGGCUUAUCGGCUUGUUGGUGGGGUAGUUGCUUACCAAGGCUUUGACGGGUAGCCGGCCUGAGAGGGUGACCGGCCACAUUGGGACUGAGAGAGGGACCAGAAUCCUACGGGAGGCAGCAGUGGGGAAUAUUACACAAUGGGCGGAAGUCUGAUGCAGCAACGCCGCGUGCGUGAUGACGGCCUUCGGGUUGUAAACCGCUUUCGCCUGUGACGAAGCGGGAGUGACGGUAAUGGGUAAAGAAGCACCGGCUAACUACGUG
RNAcentral lists this ribosomal RNA (468 nucleotides) under uncultured bacterium. Its description in RNAcentral is "partial 16S ribosomal RNA". It matches the Rfam family "Bacterial small subunit ribosomal RNA", at positions 28 to 507 of the family's 1533-position model. The record is from RNAcentral.